UUUGUUUCUUNCCUUUCAGCUUUCGACGGUAUGGUAUCGGCUCACCGUGGCAGUGACGGUAAACGGGGGAUUAGGUUUCGAUUCGGGAGAGGGAGCUUGAGAAACGGCUACCACAUCUAAGGAAGGCAGCAGGCGCGCAAAUUACCCAAUUCUAACAGCAUAAGAGAGGUAGUGACAAGAAAUAACAGUACAAGGCAGUUAAAAUGCUUUGUAAUUGGAAUGAUAGAAAUUUAAACACUUUUUAAAGUAUCAAUUGGAGGGCAAGUCUGGUGCCAGCAGCCGCGGUAAUUCCAGCUCCAAUAGCGUAUAUUAAAAUUGUUGCAGUUAAAAAGCUGGUAGUUGAAUUUCUGCUAAAAAUAACCGGUUUGCUUUUAUUAAUAAAAGUGGUAUCUUGGUGUGUUUUUAGCAAUAAUGUCCUUUGAAAUGUUUUUUACUUUAUUGUAAGAAGCAAUAUUCAGGAUUUUUACUUUGAGAAAAUUAGAGUGUUUCAAGCAGGCUAACGUUUUGAAUACUGCAGCAUGGAAUAAUAAAAUAGGAUUUUGGUUCUACAUUAUUGGUUUUAAGAACUAAAUUAAUGAUGAUAGGGGCAGUGGGGCAUNUNNNNG
Molecule: ribosomal RNA, 605 nt
Filed under: Hepatozoon sp.
Lineage: Eukaryota; Apicomplexa; Hepatozoidae
Description: SSU rRNA
Rfam family: Eukaryotic small subunit ribosomal RNA
Source: RNAcentral